Lagopus leucura (white-tailed ptarmigan) is the source of this 1507-nucleotide long non-coding RNA. RefSeq lists it as uncharacterized. NCBI's taxonomy places the organism in Eukaryota, Metazoa, Chordata, Aves, Galliformes, Phasianidae. The transcript has 4 exons. The record is from RefSeq and is a predicted model, not a curated record.
CCGAGCAGGCGGUGCAGUUGUCAGCAGGCACGGAUGACGGGGGUGGGCCUUUGUCAGGCGGCAGCGAGCGCUGAAUUAGCUGGGCUGGUGCCGCUGUCUCGCCCUCUGCCUCUCCCUUUAGGGGAGAAGCUAGACGCAUUUACGCAUGUAAACGUGCAAGAUUUCUAAACGGAACGCAGAACCUCGCGCUCGCUUCCGGACACGAUCGCUUCUUCCCCAGGCUCGAUGUUUCCUAUCUGGUUUCUAAUCCUCUACUUCCAUCCAACGUGGAUGCCUUUUGGGUAUGUGAUCUUUGUGAGUGAAACUUGCUUGUGGCAACAAAGGCGGCUUCUGUGGAGCUGAGUUCAUGUGCUGAAACCAUUUAUUGAAGAUUUCAUGGGCUUCCUGCAUUGCAUUGGAAACAAUGUUUGGACAUCUGUUAAUUUUGAGUACAGAAAGGAGCUCUCACUGUUCUGUAAACUUUCAGGUAUUUCACAGGCUUCACCUUUACUUACUGCUCUCACAGUGACCUGCUCCUAGCGACACACAACUCAAGCCCAGAAGAUCAAAGAGAUGUAGAAACAGAAGUUAAGAGUUCAUGCAAUUCAUCUCCUUGCUUGGCCACAUGAAAGGCAUGUUUCUCCCACAGACUCUCUCAAGGCAAUUUCCAGCAGUGUUUAAAGAGAAAUAUGGAACAGAUGUGGUGAAGGACUGAAGGACUCUGUGCUUGACUGCAGAUUGGAAUAGCUCCCCAACAAAGCACACUCACCUCUGUUGUGCCUGUGUCCAACAUAUGAUCAUGGUGACUGAAAUCCCCAGCAUCCUUCUUGCGGAUGUUCUCAACAACAGUUUUUGUUAUGGCUGCAACAUCCAGGCCUAGGUGAAAAGAGAAUUGCACAGUGGGGAUCAGAAAUUCAAAUUUCCUGCUGAAUGAAUUUCAGACUGGGGCUGUGGACCUUAUUUCUUACAUUACCUGUAACUGUUACUGGGCUGGUCACACUCUCACUGCCACACUAAAUUAUAGGCUUUUGAGAUACAUAAUUUAUUGCACGUAUUUUAGAUGAAUAAUAUCCAAGGUAACAGAAAACACCAAACAGUCUGUGCUGGGGACCUGCAUGCAGAUAUGUUUGUCAAACUUCAGAGCAUAUAUUUAAGACGGGCAGUUAGCAUUUAAUUUCUGCUAUGUUUGGACAUGAUCCACAAGCAAAAGUGGUAUUUAGCUUGUUUUAGAAAUAGAAUUGCUAUUCCAGACUACAGGAAGAAAACACAAUACAGAGCACAUCUCACCUGCUUCUUUUGCUAACUCAAGACAGUGGUGGCGUUGAUCGCUUUCAGUAACAUCUUCUAGAAACAGAGCAUACUGGGCAACAGCCAGCUCUGGGGGCAGGUGGCUCACAUAAAAAGCUAUUAAGUCUGUGUGCUUCUCUGAUAUCAUCCGCUGAAGAACAGAAAGCAAAUAUUAAAAAAAAAACAAUGUUUCUCUGUGUACACACCUAAGUUAUGAAUAUUAAAUAAUGUGUAAGCCAGA